AAGAAUUCUUAUUAACUCUGCGGUUAAGUUCAUACAAACUGUACCAUGGAUACAGAAGUGUGACAUCUCCUGGAAAAUGAUGAACUUAGAGUGGGUGAUUUGGACUCCACAGACCCUAGAAAUGGAUGAAAAGGUCUGGGACCCUGACAAAAGGUGAAGACAUUAGCACUGGAUAAGCUACCACAGAAAGUCAUUAAUGGAGAGCACAUCCAGUCUUGGUGGUGACAUAUGCACAGCAGUUUGACAUCCAAUUCUCAUUAUCAGUAUUUCUCAGCACAGCUCUUCUCCUACUGAUUCUCACUACCUCUUCUUGCCAACACAGUCCCAAUGAACUGUUUAUUUGCUCCAACAGAGUGAUGAAGAUACCAGAAGAACCUGUUGAGUUUUGCAUAACUACUUUUUCUCUGCAUGUUUUUUGAUAGUCAGUGUUCCAUUAUUUCUUCUUAAGAAGUUGUUAUAGAAAAUAAAAGACAAAAAGAGAAAAAGAAACAAAUUAAAGGAAAAAAAAACGAGAAAAAAAAUCGGAGAAACCAUAAAAGAUCACAUUGAGAAAAACAGACUACAGCAAGCAUUUUUAAAAUUAAUAAGAAUUUUAUCAGAAAUUUUUACUUCAAAGUCAUGUGAAGGCCAGGAAGGAAAAAGAAGAAUGAGUCAGAGAAGUCAGAAUAACAUCAAAGUCUAAUCCUGGAAAAUGAAGAGGAUCUUGAGAAGCUCUUCACCUUUAAGCUGUGCACAAAUGAUAGGUGAAUUGCAUGAUGAAUGCAUUUAGAAUAAUCUAAUAUUUAUGAAGAUUCAUGAAUUAAGAUUCUGUUACUGUUCACACAUUUUCAGAAUAAAAUAUUGAUACAUAGAGUUUUCACUGGAACUCUCCCUACAUGGUUCAGGCUUUCAAACAUUCAUUUCUUCUGAA
Long non-coding RNA from Cyanistes caeruleus (blue tit), 910 nucleotides. RefSeq lists it as uncharacterized. Lineage: Eukaryota; Metazoa; Chordata; Aves; Passeriformes; Paridae. The record is from RefSeq and is a predicted model, not a curated record.